RNAcentral lists this ribosomal RNA (477 nucleotides) under uncultured bacterium. RNAcentral's name for it is "SSU rRNA". It matches the Rfam family "Bacterial small subunit ribosomal RNA", at positions 26 to 518 of the family's 1533-position model. The record is from RNAcentral.
AGGAUGAACGCUGGCGGCGUGCUUAACACAUGCAAGUCGAACGAUGAACCUCACUUGUGGGGGGAUUAGUGGCGAACGGGUGAGUAACACGUGAGUAACCUGCCCUUAACUCUGGGAUAAGCCUGGGAAACUGGGUCUAAUACCGGAUAUGACUCCUCAUCGCAUGGUGGGGGGUGGAAAGCUUUAUUGUGGUUUUGGAUGGACUCGCGGCCUAUCAGCUUGUUGGUGAGGUAAUGGCUCACCAAGGCGACGACGGGUAGCCGGCCUGAGAGGGUGACCGGCCACACUGGGACUGAGACACGGCCCAGACUCCUACGGGAGGCAGCAGUGGGGAAUAUUGCACAAUGGGCGCAAGCCUGAUGCAGCGACGCCGCGUGAGGGAUGACGGCCUUCGGGUUGUAAACCUCUUCAGUAGGAAGAAGCGAAAGUGACGGUACCUGCAGAAGAAGCGCCGGCUAACUACGUGCCAGCAGCCGC